AUCUGAAGAAGUGAGGUUCUUACCCACAAAAGCUCAUGCUCCCAAUACUUCUGUUAGUCUUAAAGGUGCCACAGGACCCUCUGUUGCUAUGCUACAUAUGUGAGUCAUUCCCUCAAACAUCCUGCCUUGUAUCAGCACUUCCUCAUUUAAUGCAGGGAGUUGGUUCCAGUACUGCAUUCGAUUUUCAGCCUGCUUAAGCAAAGUAUCAAGAAAAUCCAGACACGUUUCCCAUGCUUAAGAGCAGGCUGGGAAUAUUGCCAAGUUUCAGUAUGGAGUGCUGAAUCAUCAGGGCUCUCUCAGAGAAGCCAGAUCUGGAGUUCUAUUUGUACGUUCACCGGUGAGUGCCCUGAAAGCCAAGCACUAAGGGUAAAACCACCCCAGCUAAUGGAGUGCAUGGUGGCAUUAAUGGAGUGAAGGGAUUCACAGUGACUGGGACACUGCAAAAAUGAACAGGGAAUAUGUCCUCUGGAUACUCUCCUACUCACUGCUGUGCUUUUUCCCUGGUGCUAUUCCCCAAGCAACCUUGUGCCACGCAGUCAGCGGAGACACCGUUAUUUUGCCCUGUGCCAUUAAGACUUCUGAAAAGCUGAACAUUUCCAAUUAUUCUAUAUACUGGCAGAUAAAUACAUCAGUGGUAGUGCAUUUGUUUUACCAUGGGGAGGACUUGUUGAAAGACCAGUCCAGAAGAUACCACAACAGAACCAGGCUCUUUUUGGAUCAGCUGGAGCGUGGUAACUUUUCUCUAAUGCUCUCUGGAGUUCAGCCUGCUGAUGAAGAUGUGUAUACCUGCAUCGCUAGAAACAAAGUGACCAAAACUAAGGACACGUAUAAAGUUAAACUCAACGUCUCACGUCAAACUCAGGGUGUAACAAAUUGUCCUGGGGAUGCAAACACCCUGGAUAUGCUUAUUCUCUGUUCUCACUUCCUGAUGGUGUUGGUGGUUUGGAUCUUGUAACUGUGAAAUCAGGGCUUUUGUCUGCAAAUUUCUCCUGGCAAGUGACUCUUGCAGCACAACACCCAUCUGUAAGGGUUGCACAACUACUAUUCCAGAAGCCACAAACAACAAGGCAUCACCACUUGAAAACUGGCCUUACAUUAAGCACCUAUAACCAUAGUUUGGUGCUCAAACAAGCAACCUUAUUUUUCAGAGGCACUGGCCAUCUGCAGGUCCAAGUGGCUUCAGUCAGAGGUAAUGAGCCUGAUUUUCCAUCCAUCUUCAAGAGCCUAGCGUUAGGCCUCCACAUUUGAAAAUUCUAACCCUACAAUUUGUGUGGUUUUUUUAUGACAAUUUUGAAUCCAAGUUCCAACUGAGGUUCACAAUGUUAUUAUAAUUGUCCUUAAUGUGAUCUUUCACAUGAAAGAUUGCAUGUGCUUUACAAAAAGGGGAAGUAAAAGAAGGAGAAAGCGUAGCUGUAUUAUACGUCAGAGAAAAACUGGAAGUUGUGGUGGUGGCUGCCUUUGCGAAAAUCAAGGGUGGAAACAUUGUGACAGGAAACUCGAGGCUGUGAACUAUGCCUGUGCCUCUUUUCAUUCUGAUGCAUCCAUUACAUCAUCAGUACAAAGAAAUCCAUUCAAUCAGCCAAAGGAGAAGUUGUUGUCAGAGGAUGUUAAAAAAAGCAAACAAUUCCAGAGGAAGAGUGCUGCAUACUACAAAUAAGCCAAAGACUUUGUUAGUUUCAGUCUUAUACUCUUCCCCAAAGAAAGUUAGAAGCAGCCAACUGAAAGGUACAGAACUGCUGUGCUACUUGGGUUAGGGUAUGUGCGAUUCUGCAACCUGUGAUGCGGAGUCACUAAAUUUAUAUAGGUUGUGUUUAUCACUCUGCAUUCCAUUUUUUGUUUAAAAUGUCCAUGGUUUAAGGAACUAAAACUAUCAUCUGUGUCUAUCGGGAUUGCAUUGCCUUACUCCUUAAAAUGCAAAAUGCAGAUAUAACUGAAGAUGUCUUGCCAUUGUUAAA
RNAcentral lists this long non-coding RNA (1955 nucleotides) under Chrysemys picta bellii (western painted turtle). Its description in RNAcentral is "lncRNA (ENSCPBG00000018342.1)". The record is from RNAcentral. Lineage: Eukaryota; Metazoa; Chordata; Testudines; Emydidae.